This 67-nucleotide transfer RNA is filed under the name Ectomomyrmex javanus. RNAcentral's name for it is "tRNA-Ser". The record is from RNAcentral. Lineage: Eukaryota; Metazoa; Arthropoda; Insecta; Hymenoptera; Formicidae.
AGUUUAUUAACUUAUUUAAGUUUAUGUUUUGAAAACAUAAAAAAGAAAUUUAAUUUUCUAUAAACUU